This 518-nucleotide ribosomal RNA is filed under the name fungal sp. GQGB1. Its description in RNAcentral is "eukaryotic LSU rRNA". The stretch from base 155 to 308 matches the Rfam family "5.8S ribosomal RNA". The record is from RNAcentral. Lineage: Eukaryota; Fungi.
UAGGCGGGCUGGACCUCUCGGGGUUACAGCCUUGCUGAAUUAUUCACCCUUGUCUUUUGCGUACUUCUUGUUUCCUUGGUGGGUUCGCCCACCACUAGGACAAACAUAAACCUUUUGUAAUUGCAAUCAGCGUCAGUAACAAAUUAAUAAUUACAACUUUCAACAACGGAUCUCUUGGUUCUGGCAUCGAUGAAGAACGCAGCGAAAUGCGAUAAGUAGUGUGAAUUGCAGAAUUCAGUGAAUCAUCGAAUCUUUGAACGCACAUUGCGCCCUUUGGUAUUCCAAAGGGCAUGCCUGUUCGAGCGUCAUUUGUACCCUCAAGCUUUGCUUGGUGUUGGGCGUCUUGUCUCUAGCUUUGCUGGAGACUCGCCUUAAAGUAAUUGGCAGCCGGCCUACUGGUUUCGGAGCGCAGCACAAGUCGCACUCUCUAUCAGCAAAGGUCUAGCAUCCAUUAAGCCUUUUUUUCAACUUUUGACCUCGGAUCAGGUAGGGAUACCCGCUGAACUUAAGCAUAUCAA